This is a long non-coding RNA of Anopheles funestus (African malaria mosquito), 1204 nucleotides long. RefSeq lists it as uncharacterized. NCBI's taxonomy places the organism in Eukaryota, Metazoa, Arthropoda, Insecta, Diptera, Culicidae. The transcript is spliced from 3 exons. The record is from RefSeq and is a predicted model, not a curated record.
UUCUGGGCUGCACGCGUGCUACAAUGUGGGUCGCAGCGUGUUCUCGCCAAUAGGCGCCCCCAUUUCCGAGAGGAACGGGAAAUCACUAAAAUGCCCAUCUAGUCGGGAUUGGGGACUGCAACGGUCCCCAUGAACCUGGAAUUUCUAGUAAGCACUAGUCAUUAGCUAGUGCUGAUUACGUCCCUGCCCUUUGUACACACCGCCCGUCGCUACUACCGAUGGAUUAUUUAGUGAGGUUUCUGGAGGCUUACCUUCCGCGGUUCCUUCGUGAGCUGCAGCUGGCAUGGCUGAAGUUGACCGAACUUGAUGAUUUAGAGGAAGUAAAAGUCGUAACAAGGUUUCCGUAGGUGAACCUGCGGAAGGAUCAUUACUGAUGAUCGUCCGCGAGUGGACCAACCAUGGGCUGCCUUCGGUGUAGCUCGGUCGCUCGCUUGCUAUGUGUCAGAAUUUGUUGAAAGCCAACUCGUUCGUUGUACACUUUGAUGGGUGACCAUCACUGUGUCUCCGUGCCGUGCUAGAUCCCCCCUAGCCGUAAGGCACUUUGAACGCCCCUUCGACGACGAGUUACAAGAGUGUGGUAUGUGUCAGAAUCUGGUGAAGCUUUCUGCAUGUGAUGUGCCUUGUGUGGAUCCGUGGCCAUUGCAUUGUGUCUGGUGUGUAGGUACCCAGACACUUAAGCAAACUCGAUCGUUGUACACUGUGAUGGGCGAGCAUCACUGUGUCUCCGUGCCGUGUAAGAGCUCCCCUGGCCAUCAGGCACUUGAAAGGUCCUUCGACGACGAGUUACAAUAGUGGUGUGUUAGAUACGUCAGGUGAUGGUAUCUACUGUUGUGCAAUACGUAUCCGGCCACGGCACGGAACGAACGGGAACUGUGGUGCAGACAUACAAAGAGUUAAGCCUAUUAGUCAUUAACUCUAAGGACGGGGCCAUGGGGCGGUACGCAAAGGAUACGGAUGAGCGAGUAUGCAGGCCCAAUACUCAAUAGCUCGAUCCGAUCCAAGCACAUGAGUUGACUGCGGCGCCAGGUUAACCAAUGUGCUAGAUUCUAUUUGGCCAGUAGAAUCUUGUGUCUUACGCGAUUUGAUACCAAGACACCAGAACGAAAGUUAGUUGAAGAGUGAUUAAACUCUUAUGAAGAAUGGUUGUGCAAUCACAACUUAUGACUUUAACCUAUAAAGUGGAUAUGGACUAUCAAUUAUAACA